Molecule: long non-coding RNA, 1139 nt
Organism: Vespa mandarinia (Asian giant hornet)
Lineage: Eukaryota; Metazoa; Arthropoda; Insecta; Hymenoptera; Vespidae
Source: RefSeq, a predicted model, not a curated record
GAAGAAAGUCCGAGAUAUUAGACAAUGGAUAGGUUUGCUCGGGAUAGCUUUGAAAGUUGCCGACGUGAAAUAUAAAUGAGAUUACGUCAUAUGUUUAUGAUAAUUUGCUUUUUCUCUGUGUGUCGAGUUUCCCGACGUUGUGAAAAAAAAAUUUGCUUUGGUUAACCUACGAAUAUAAAAAAAAAGCUUAAUUUCGAAAGCUAUCGUUUCAAAAACCGACAAAUAUAUUUAAUUUAUUAUCGAAUUCGAUAGAGAAAGAGAAAACAUGAGUGACAUAUUUCAGUUACGAUUUACAUUCUACAAGACGAUAAUACCUAUCGCGUAUGGUGGUAAAGUGAGAAAAAUAACAAAAGAAUUAAAAAGAAGCAUUUUAUUUUAUCUCUGAUCGUGAGACAUUGAAGAUAGUUGUUCAUUAAAAAUAAGAAAACGUGGAGGCUGUCCGUUGCCUCGAACGAUCAGAAAAAUGAUGUCAGCGAUAAGUCAGAUUAAUCGGACAUUAAAGGAGGAAAUCUUCGAAGUCAAAUCAAUCAAGCGGAAAUAGUCAAGAUUAAACUAUUUCUAUACAUAAGCGGCAUAGAACGUCGUCAUCGAUGCAUCCGCCAUACUAAGUUAUUACCAUAAACAACGAUUCUUGCGGUGAAGCUGUUGGCAAUCAUCAUGGUAACGUGGGCGACAGGAAAGAAAUAAAAGGUACGAACCGACGAGAAGAUUUCAUCGAUAAUAAUUCCACGAAAUCGUGACUUACAAUUUAAAUAUUUUUAACGAUGUUACAUUAAUUUUUAUAUAUAAUAUGAUAAGAAAAAGAUAACAAAUAAUAAAUCAAAAACAAACUGCCUUAUCUUAUUUCAUUCCAUAAUAAUAAAAGAAAAAAGUGUUUCGAUAUAAUUUUUAAUCAGUUUGAGACAACACAAAAAUUCAUUUUAAACACGUUCGAAUAAGCGUCCUUGAUUUUGAAUCGUAAGCGUCACAAGGAUCAUGCCUUGAUUGUAUGCAAGACGUAAAUGGAUGCGUCCCUGCAUAUAGAAGUACGACUUCCGUGAAUGCACUGACCAGGCAGACUGUGCCCGCGCUUUUUCGAUAGGUUCUUUAAGCGCACCUGCGUUUACGCGACAAAAUAUUUUCACGAAAAGAAAAAAAAA